RNAcentral lists this transfer RNA (74 nucleotides) under Hyphomicrobiales bacterium. Its description in RNAcentral is "tRNA-Gln". It matches the Rfam family "tRNA". From Rfam's summary of the family: Transfer RNA (tRNA) molecules are approximately 80 nucleotides in length. Their secondary structure includes four short double-helical elements and three loops (D, anti-codon, and T loops). Lineage: Bacteria; Pseudomonadati; Pseudomonadota; Alphaproteobacteria; Hyphomicrobiales. The record is from RNAcentral.
UGGGGGAUAGUUUAGCGGUAGAACCCACGGCUCUGACCCGUGUAGCCCUGGUUCGAAUCCAGGUCCCCCAGCCA